AGAACGAACGCUGGCGGCAGGCCUCAAACAUGCAAGUCUAGGGGGUGUAGCAAUACAUCACCGGCGGACGGGUGCGUAACGCGUGGGAAUGUACCUAUUGGUUCGGAACAACUGAGGGAAACUUCAGCUAAUACCGGAUGAGCCCGCAAGGGGAAAGAUUUCUCGCCAAUAGAUCAGCCCGCGUCCGAUUAGCUAGUUGGUGGGGUUAAAGCCUACCAAGGCAACGAUCGGUAGCUGUUCUGAGAGGAAGAUCAGCCACACUGGGACUGAGACACGGCCCAGACUCCUACGGGAGGCAGCAGUUGGGAAUCUUGGACAAUGGGGGAAACCCUGAUCCAGCCAUGCCGCGUGAGUGAUGAAGGCCUUCGGGUUGUAAAACUCUUUCGACGGGGACGAUAAUGACGGUACCCGUAGAAGAAGCUCCGGCUAACUUCGUGCCAGCAGCCGC
This 448-nucleotide ribosomal RNA is filed under the name uncultured bacterium. RNAcentral's name for it is "SSU rRNA". It matches the Rfam family "Bacterial small subunit ribosomal RNA", at positions 26 to 518 of the family's 1533-position model. The record is from RNAcentral.